This is a non-coding RNA of Cavia porcellus (domestic guinea pig), 137 nucleotides long. Ensembl annotates it as small Cajal body-specific RNA 11. The record is from Ensembl. NCBI's taxonomy places the organism in Eukaryota, Metazoa, Chordata, Mammalia, Rodentia, Caviidae.
GUGUCCUGGCCUAUGUUUGUGCUCCCCUGUGCUCAGCUGUGACAGGGUAGUCUGGCAGGAUGUACAGCAGUUUCCCUCUCAGUUUAGGAGGGCUGUCCUAAGAAUAGGGCUGGCUCUUAAAGGCACGAGAGGACAAU